GUUCGUAGGCGGUGCGGCAAGUUGGGAGUGAAAUCUCUGGGCUUAACUCAGAGGCUGCUUCCAAAACUGCCGUGCUUGAGUGUGGGAGAGGCGCGUGGAAUUGCAGGUGUAGCGGUGAAAUGCGUAGAUAUCUGCAGGAACACCCGUGGCGAAAGCGGCGCGCUGGACCACAACUGACGCUGAGGAACGAAAGCUAGGGGAGCAAACAGGAUUAGAUACCCUGGUAGUCCUAGCCCUAAACGAUCAGGACUUGGGGUGCCGCCCGUUCGGGCGUCGUCCCGGAGCUAACGCGUUAAGUCCUGCACCUGGGGAGUACGGUCGCAAGACUGAA
RNAcentral lists this ribosomal RNA (331 nucleotides) under uncultured bacterium. Its description in RNAcentral is "bacterial SSU rRNA". It matches the Rfam family "Bacterial small subunit ribosomal RNA", at positions 567 to 898 of the family's 1533-position model. The record is from RNAcentral.